RNAcentral lists this ribosomal RNA (422 nucleotides) under uncultured bacterium. Its description in RNAcentral is "bacterial SSU rRNA". It matches the Rfam family "Bacterial small subunit ribosomal RNA", at positions 355 to 774 of the family's 1533-position model. The record is from RNAcentral.
CUAAGAAUCUUCCGCAAUGGGCGCAAGCCUGACGGAGCGACGCCGCGUGGACGAUGAAGGCCCUAUCGGGUUGUAAAGUCCUUUUCUAAGGGAAGAAAUACCUGUAUUUACAGGGGCUGACGGUACCUUAGGAAUAAGCCCCGGCUAAUUACGUGCCAGCAGCCGCGGUAAUACGUAAGGGGCGAGCGUUGUUCGGAUUUAUUGGGCGUAAAGGGUGCGUAGGCGGACGCUUAAGUGAGGUGUGAAAAUCCAGGGCUCAACCUUGGACUUGCGCUUCAAACUGGGUGUCUUGAGUGUAGGAGAGGAAACCGGAAUUCCUGGUGUAGGGGUGAAAUCUAUAGAUAUCAGGAAGAACACCGAAGGCGAAGGCAGGUUUCUGGUCUAACACUGACGCUGAGGCACGAAAGCCAGGGGAGCGAACG